Molecule: unclassified non-coding RNA, 389 nt
Filed under: uncultured fungus
Lineage: Eukaryota; Fungi
Description: partial contains ITS1, 5.8S rRNA and ITS2
Source: RNAcentral
AACGCAUCUUGCACUCUUUGGUAUUCCGAGGAGUAUGCCUGUUUGAGAAUCAUUUAACCUCUCAACCCUUUACUUUUGACCUUUAAAGGUUUAAAAGUGAAAGGUUAGAUUUGAAUAAUGGUCUUUUUUUUGGACCUUGUUUAAAAUAAAAGGUAUAGGUAAUGUGAAAAGCUUUACUUUUAUGUUAUCAAUGGUAAACCGUUAAGGUGAACCUUUUAUCAUGAAUGUUAAGAUCUCUCCCUUAAAUAUGUAAAAAGAUUUUGUUGCAUAUCAUAUUUUUAAACUAAUGAAACUUUGAAUCUUUUUUUUAAGGUUUUUAUUUCAUUAGACAUAACACUUUUUAGUUGUGACCUUGGUCUCGAAUCAGGCAAGAGUAGCCGCUGAUCUUA